RNAcentral lists this ribosomal RNA (870 nucleotides) under Streptomyces sp. RNAcentral's name for it is "bacterial SSU rRNA". It matches the Rfam family "Bacterial small subunit ribosomal RNA", at positions 67 to 944 of the family's 1533-position model. The record is from RNAcentral. Lineage: Bacteria; Bacillati; Actinomycetota; Actinomycetes; Kitasatosporales; Streptomycetaceae.
CGAUGAGCCGCUUCGGUGGUGGAUUAGUGGCGAACGGGUGAGUAACACGUGGGCAAUCUGCCCUGCACUCUGGGACAAGCCCUGGAAACGGGGUCUAAUACCGGAUAUGACACACGGGGGCAUCUUCUGUGUGUGGAAAGCUCCGGCGGUGCAGGAUGAGCCCGCGGCCUAUCAGCUUGUUGGUGGGGUGAUGGCCUACCAAGGCGACGACGGGUAGCCGGCCUGAGAGGGCGACCGGCCACACUGGGACUGAGACACGGCCCAGACUCCUACGGGAGGCAGCAGUGGGGAAUAUUGCACAAUGGGCGCAAGCCUGAUGCAGCGACGCCGCGUGAGGGAUGACGGCCUUCGGGUUGUAAACCUCUUUCAGCAGGGAAGAAGCCUUCACGGGUGACGGUACCUGCAGAAGAAGCACCGGCUAACUACGUGCCAGCAGCCGCGGUAAUACGUAGGGUGCGAGCGUUGUCCGGAAUUAUUGGGCGUAAAGAGCUCGUAGGCGGCGUGUCGCGUCGGAUGUGAAAGCCCGGGGCUUAACCCUGGGUCUGCAUUCGAUACGGGCAGGCUAGAGUUCGGUAGGGGAGAUCGGAAUUCCUGGUGUAGCGGUGAAAUGCGCAGAUAUCAGGAGGAACACCGGUGGCGAAGGCGGAUCUCUGGGCCGAUACUGACGCUGAGGAGCGAAAGCGUGGGGAGCGAACAGGAUUAGAUACCCUGGUAGUCCACGCCGUAAACGUUGGGAACUAGGUGUGGGUCACAUUCCACGUGGUCCGUGCCGCAGCUAACGCAUUAAGUUCCCCGCCUGGGGAGUACGGCCGCAAGGCUAAAACUCAAAGGAAAUUGACGGGGGCCCGCACAAGCGGCGGGAGCAUGUGG